This 1343-nucleotide ribosomal RNA is filed under the name uncultured bacterium. Its description in RNAcentral is "16S ribosomal RNA". It matches the Rfam family "Bacterial small subunit ribosomal RNA", at positions 28 to 1378 of the family's 1533-position model. The record is from RNAcentral.
GACGAACGCUGGCGGCGUGCUUAACACAUGCAAGUCGAACGGAAAGGCCCUGCUUUUGUGGGGUGCUCGAGUGGCGAACGGGUGAGUAACACGUGAGUAACCUGCCCUUGACUUUGGGAUAACUUCAGGAAACUGGGGCUAAUACCGGAUAGGAGCUCCUGCUGCAUGGUGGGGGUUGGAAAGUUUCGGCGGUUGGGGAUGGACUCGCGGCUUAUCAGCUUGUUGGUGGGGUAGUGGCUUACCAAGGCUUUGACGGGUAGCCGGCCUGAGAGGGUGACCGGCCACAUUGGGACUGAGAUACGGCCCUGACUCCUACGGGAGGCAGCAGUGGGGAAUAUUGCACAAUGGGCGGAAGCCUGAUGCAGCAACGCCGCGUGCGGGAUGACGGCCUUCGGGUUGUAAACCGCUUUCGCCUGUGACGAAGCGUGAGUGACGGUGAUGGGUAAAGAAGCACCGGCUAACUACGUGCCAGCAGCCGCGGUGAUACGUAGGGUGCGAGCGUUGUCCGGAUUUAUUGGGCGUAAAGGGCUCGUAGGUGGUUGAUCGCGUCGGAAGUGUAAUCUUGGGGCUUAACCCUGAGCGUGCUUUCGAUACGGGUUGACUUGAGGAAGGUAGGGGAGAAUGGAAUUCCUGGUGGAGCGGUGGAAUGCGCAGAUAUCAGGAGGAACACCAGUGGCGAAGGCGGUUCUCUGGGCCUUUCCUGACGCUGAGGAGCGAAAGCGUGGGGAGCGAACAGGCUUAGAUACCCUGGUAGUCCACGCUGUAAACGGUGGGUACUAGGUGUGGGGUCCAUUCCACGGGUUCCGUGCCGUAGCUAACGCUUUAAGUACCCCGCCUGGGGAGUACGGCCGCAAGGCUAAAACUCAAAGGAAUUGACGGGGCCCCGCACAAGCGGCGGAGCAUGCGGAUUAAUUCGAUGCAACGCGUAGAACCUUACCUGGGUUUGACAUGGAUCGGGAGUGCUCAGAGAUGGGUGUGCCUCUUUUGGGGUCGGUUCACAGGUGGUGCAUGGCUGUCGUCAGCUCGUGUCGUGAGAUGUUGGGUUAAGUCCCGCAACGAGCGCAACCCUUGUUCACUGUUGCCAGCACGUUAUGGUGGGGACUCAGUGGAGACCGCCGGGGUCAACUCGGAGGAAGGUGGGGAUGACGUCAAGUCAUCAUGCCCCUUAUGUCCAGGGCUUCACGCAUGCUACAAUGGCUGGUACAGAGAGUGGCGAGCCUGUGAGGGUGAGCGAAUCUCGGAAAGCCGGUCUCAGUUCGGAUUGGGGUCUGCAACUCGACCUCAUGAAGUCGGAGUCGCUAGUAAUCGCAGAUCAGCAACGCUGCGGUGAAUACGUUCCCGGG